Molecule: ribosomal RNA, 253 nt
Filed under: uncultured bacterium
Lineage: Bacteria
Description: partial 16S ribosomal RNA
Rfam family: Bacterial small subunit ribosomal RNA
Source: RNAcentral
CACGUAGGGCGCGAGCGUUGUCCGGAAUUAUUGGGCGUAAAGAGCUCGUAGGCGGUCUGUCGCGUCUGCUGUGAAAUCCCGAGGCUCAACCUCGGGCUUGCAGUGGGUACGGGCAGGCUAGAGUGCGGUAGGGGAGAAUGGAACUCCUGGUGUAGCGGUGGAAUGCGCAGAUAUCAGGAAGAACACCGAUGGCGAAGGCAGUUCUCUGGGCCGUAACUGACGCUGAGGAGCGAAAGCGUGGGGAGCGAACAGG